Molecule: ribosomal RNA, 3004 nt
Filed under: Salmonella enterica subsp. enterica serovar Madelia
Lineage: Bacteria; Pseudomonadati; Pseudomonadota; Gammaproteobacteria; Enterobacterales; Enterobacteriaceae
Description: bacterial LSU rRNA
Rfam family: Bacterial large subunit ribosomal RNA
Source: RNAcentral
UUAAGCGACUAAGCGUACACGGUGGAUGCCCUGGCAGUCAGAGGCGAUGAAGGACGUGCUAAUCUGCGAUAAGCGCCGGUAAGGUGAUAUGAACCGUUAUAACCGGCGAUUUCCGAAUGGGGAAACCCAGUGUGACUCGUCACACUAUCAUUAACUGAAUCCAUAGGUUAAUGAGGCGAACCGGGGGAACUGAAACAUCUAAGUACCCCGAGGAAAAGAAAUCAACCGAGAUUCCCCAGUAGCGGCGAGCGAACGGGGAGGAGCCCAGAGCCUGAAUCAGCAUGUGUGUUAGUGGAAGCGUCUGGAAAGGCGCGCGAUACAGGGUGACAGCCCCGUACACAAAAGCGCAUAUGCUGUGAGCUCGAUGAGUAGGGCGGGACACGUGGUAUCCUGUCUGAAUAUGGGGGGACCAUCCUCCAAGGCUAAAUACUCCUGACUGACCGAUAGUGAACCAGUACCGUGAGGGAAAGGCGAAAAGAACCCCGGCGAGGGGAGUGAAAAAGAACCUGAAACCGUGUACGUACAAGCAGUGGGAGCCCCACCACUAAGCCAGUGGUGAACUCCACAUACGCAUCCUUUGCUGAGGAUACGGUUAACGGAGCGAAAGCGACGUUCAACCUCAAAAGAAGCAGAGGGGGCUUAGUGGUGGGGUGACUGCGUACCUUUUGUAUAAUGGGUCAGCGACUUAUAUUCUGUAGCAAGGUUAACCGUAUAGGGGAGCCGGAGGGAAACCGAGUCUUAACCGGGCGUUAAGUUGCAGGGUAUAGACCCGAAACCCGGUGAUCUAGCCAUGGGCAGGUUGAAGGUUGGGUAACACUAACUGGAGGACCGAACCGACUAAUGUUGAAAAAUUAGCGGAUGACCUGUGGCUGGGGGUGAAAGGCCAAUCAAACCGGGAGAUAGCUGGUUCUCCCCGAAAGCUAUUUAGGUAGCGCCUCGUGAAUUCAUCUCCGGGGGUAGAGCACUGUUUCGGCUAGGGGGCCAUCCCGGCUUACCAACCCGAUGCAAACUGCGAAUACCGGAGAAUGUUAUCACGGGAGACACACGGCGGGUGCUAACGUCCGUCGUGAAGAGGGAAACAACCCAGACCGCCAGCUAAGGUCCCAAAGUCAUGGUUAAGUGGGAAACGAUGUGGGAAGGCCCAGACAGCCAGGAUGUUGGCUUAGAAGCAGCCAUCAUUUAAAGAAAGCGUAAUAGCUCACUGGUCGAGUCGGCCUGCGCGGAAGAUGUAACGGGGCUAAACCAUGCACCGAAGCUGCGGCAGCGACACUCAGGUGUUGUUGGGUAGGGGAGCGUUCUGUAAGCCUGCGAAGGUGGCCUGUGAGGGUUGCUGGAGGUAUCAGAAGUGCGAAUGCUGACAUAAGUAACGAUAAAGCGGGUGAAAAGCCCGCUCGCCGGAAGACCAAGGGUUCCUGUCCAACGUUAAUCGGGGCAGGGUGAGUCGACCCCUAAGGCGAGGCCGAAAGGCGUAGUCGAUGGGAAACGGGUUAAUAUUCCCGUACUUGGUGUUACUGCGAAGGGGGGACGGAGAAGGCUAUGUUGGCCGGGCGACGGUUGUCCCGGUUUAAGCGUGUAGGUGUGUGUUCCAGGUAAAUCCGGUUCACUUUAACACUGAGGCGUGAUGACGAGGCACUACGGUGCUGAAGCAACAAAUGCCCUGCUUCCAGGAAAAGCCUCUAAGCAUCAGGUAACACGAAAUCGUACCCCAAACCGACACAGGUGGUCAGGUAGAGAAUACCAAGGCGCUUGAGAGAACUCGGGUGAAGGAACUAGGCAAAAUGGUGCCGUAACUUCGGGAGAAGGCACGCUGACAUGUAGGUGAAGUGAUUUACUCAUGGAGCUGAAGUCAGUCGAAGAUACCAGCUGGCUGCAACUGUUUAUUAAAAACACAGCACUGUGCAAACACGAAAGUGGACGUAUACGGUGUGACGCCUGCCCGGUGCCGGAAGGUUAAUUGAUGGGGUCAGCGCAAGCGAAGCUCCUGAUCGAAGCCCCGGUAAACGGCGGCCGUAACUAUAACGGUCCUAAGGUAGCGAAAUUCCUUGUCGGGUAAGUUCCGACCUGCACGAAUGGCGUAAUGAUGGCCAGGCUGUCUCCACCCGAGACUCAGUGAAAUUGAACUCGCUGUGAAGAUGCAGUGUACCCGCGGCAAGACGGAAAGACCCCGUGAACCUUUACUAUAGCUUGACACUGAACAUUGAGCCUUGAUGUGUAGGAUAGGUGGGAGGCUUUGAAGUGUGGACGCCAGUCUGCAUGGAGCCGACCUUGAAAUACCACCCUUUAAUGUUUGAUGUUCUAACGUGGACCCGUAAUCCGGGUUGCGGACAGUGUCUGGUGGGUAGUUUGACUGGGGCGGUCUCCUCCUAAAGAGUAACGGAGGAGCACGAAGGUUGGCUAAUCCUGGUCGGACAUCAGGAGGUUAGUGCAAUGGCAUAAGCCAGCUUGACUGCGAGCGUGACGGCGCGAGCAGGUGCGAAAGCAGGUCAUAGUGAUCCGGUGGUUCUGAAUGGAAGGGCCAUCGCUCAACGGAUAAAAGGUACUCCGGGGAUAACAGGCUGAUACCGCCCAAGAGUUCAUAUCGACGGCGGUGUUUGGCACCUCGAUGUCGGCUCAUCACAUCCUGGGGCUGAAGUAGGUCCCAAGGGUAUGGCUGUUCGCCAUUUAAAGUGGUACGCGAGCUGGGUUUAGAACGUCGUGAGACAGUUCGGUCCCUAUCUGCCGUGGGCGCUGGAGAACUGAGGGGGGCUGCUCCUAGUACGAGAGGACCGGAGUGGACGCAUCACUGGUGUUCGGGUUGUCAUGCCAAUGGCACUGCCCGGUAGCUAAAUGCGGAAGAGAUAAGUGCUGAAAGCAUCUAAGCACGAAACUUGCCCCGAGAUGAGUUCUCCCUGAGACUUUAGGUCUCCUGAAGGAACGUUGAAGACGACGACGUUGAUAGGCCGGGUGUGUAAGCGCAGCGAUGCGUUGAGCUAACCGGUACUAAUGAACCGUGAGGCUUAACCUU